CUUUUUCUCUACCUCCUCCUCUUCUUCUUCUUCUCUUCUUCUUCUCUUCUUCUUCUUCUUCUCUGUAGAAGAUCCACACGUCGCCCCUCUUCGAUUUUUCCUCCCUUCCGCUAACAAUCUCUCUCCCUCUCUCACGUACGCCGGAAAAGACUAGACUUUUGGUCAACAACGCGCAAAAUCCCUCUCUUUCUCUCCUUCAGCCGAUGCAACCACCCAACACCCCUUGCACUGCUGAACUCACUGGAAAUCAAGGUCAAGGGAGAUGUCAUGGCUAUGGGCUGAAGCUUUGAGAAAAAGAGAAUGAAAAAUGAAAUGUGAGAUUUUAAACUUUGAUAGUGUGUAGGGUCUUUUUGUUUGUCUAUGCAUUUUCCAAGUGAAUUUUAGUACUUUUGAUUUUUCUAUUGAUAUUUUGUUUAUGGUUGCUAUUGAGUUGCUUUGAUUGAAGGAUAGAGGGAAGUGAUUAUUGAUAAUUAUAGGGCUUGAAGAAUCCUCGAGAGAGUGACAAUGCUUGUUGAAUUUUUAUGAAAAUGCAACAUUGAAAAGGUUGAUGAGUUUCCAAUUUCAAAAGUCUACCUAAAGCUCUAUUGUUUGUUUAACUCAAAGGUAAAAAAAAGUAAAGUAUGUGGACUUGCACCGAAUAGAGCCAUGGAAUUGGUGCAAGGGUUUGAUCAAGAGGCUGCUGCAGUUGUUGGGGCAAGAUUAACUUCAUAAAAAAUGGAGAUGGAGGUUCAACCGGAGUCGACAACUUCAUGAGUUUUCUUUCAAAGAACAUUUUCAG
Cucumis sativus (cucumber) is the source of this 778-nucleotide long non-coding RNA. RefSeq lists it as uncharacterized. The record is from RefSeq and is a predicted model, not a curated record. NCBI's taxonomy places the organism in Eukaryota, Viridiplantae, Streptophyta, Magnoliopsida, Cucurbitales, Cucurbitaceae. The transcript has 6 exons.